Molecule: ribosomal RNA, 142 nt
Filed under: uncultured Dictyoglomus sp.
Lineage: Bacteria; Pseudomonadati; Dictyoglomota; Dictyoglomia; Dictyoglomales; Dictyoglomaceae
Description: partial 16S ribosomal RNA
Source: RNAcentral
UGACCAGCGACGCCGCGUGCAUGAAGAAGGUCUUCGGAUUGUAAACUGCUGUCGUUAGGGACGAUGUGACGUAGACUGAAACGCUACAUGGAGGGAUGUACCCUUAAUAAAACGCCCCGGCUAUCAACGUGCCAGCACCCAA